RNAcentral lists this ribosomal RNA (1335 nucleotides) under metagenome. RNAcentral describes it as "bacterial LSU rRNA". It matches the Rfam family "Bacterial large subunit ribosomal RNA", at positions 1569 to 2925 of the family's 2925-position model. The record is from RNAcentral.
GGACCGAAAUCUAGUAGGGAAGUAUGUGAGCCAUGCGUCAAGAAAAGCCGCUAUUGUUCUUAUUGUACCCGUACCGUAAACCGACACAGGUGGAUGAGGAGAGAAUCCUAAGGCCGACGGAAGAAGCAUUGUUAAGGAACUCGGCAAAAUGACCCCGUAACUUCGGGAGAAGGGGUGCCACAGAAAUGUGGCCGCAGAGAAUAGGCUCAAGCAACUGUUUAGCAAAAACACAGGUCUAUGCAAAACCGAAAGGUGAGGUAUAUGGGCUGACGCCUGCCCGGUGCUGGAAGGUUAAGAGGAGAGGUUAGCGCAAGCGAAGCUUUGAAUUGAAGCCCCAGUAAACGGCGGCCGUAACUAUAACGGUCCUAAGGUAGCGAAAUUCCUUGUCGGGUAAGUUCCGACCCGCACGAAAGGCGUAAUGAUUUGAGCGCUGUCUCGACAAUGCAUCCGGUGAAAUUGAAGUACCAGUGAAGAUGCUGGUUACCUGCGCCAGGACGGAAAGACCCCAUGGAGCUUUACUCCAGCUUGAUACUGGGAUUCGGUAUUGCAUGUACAGGAUAGGUGGGAGGCUGAGAAUCGGUAACGCCAGUUGCCGAGGAGCCAUUGUUGGGAUACCACCCUUGCAGUACUGGGUUUCUAACCAGCAGCCGUGACCGGGCUGGGGGACAAUGUCAGGUGGGGAGUUUGACUGGGGCGGUCGCCUCCGAAAGGGUAUCGGAGGCGCUCAAAGGUUCCCUCAGAAUGGUUGGAAACCAUUCGAAGAGUGCAAAGGCAGAAGGGAGCUUGACUGCGACACCGACGGGUGGAGCAGGUACGAAAGUAGGACUUAGUGAUCCGGUGGUAUUAAGUGGGAAUGCCAUCGUUCAACGGAUAAAGGCUACCCUGGGAUAACAGGCUUAUCACUCCCAAGAGUUCACAUCGACGGAGUGGUUUGGCACCUCGAUGUCGGCUCAUCGCAUCCUGGGGCUGUAGUAGGUCCCAAGGGUUGGGCUGUUCGCCCAUUAAAGCGGUACGCGAGCUGGGUUCAGGACGUCGUGAGACAGUUCGGUCCCUAUCCGGCGUGGGCGUAGGAUAUCUGAGAGGAGCUGUCCUUAGUACGAGAGGACCGGGAUGGACGGACCGCUGGUGUACCUGUUGCAGUGCCAGCUGCAUGGCAGGGUAGCCAAGUCCGGAAGGGAUAAACGCUGAAGGCAUCUAAGCGCGAAGCCCCCCUCAAGAUGAGAUAUCCCAUUCGAAAGAAGUAAGACCCCUUGAAGACGACGAGGUAGAUAGGGCAGAGGUGGAAGUGCAGUAAUGUAUGGAGCUGACUGUUACUAAUCGGUCGAGGGUUUGACC